UCUCAGUCAAGCCAUGAUCUAUAGAAUUCAGUCAGUCAUGUGACUCAGGAAAACUCAGAAAUCUCAGUAGUCCAGUAAUCUCAGUAAUCUCAGUGCUCAGUAACCUCAGCAACCUCAGUAUUCACAGUCAAUCUCAGUGACUUCAAUACUCUCAAAUAGUCCUCAGAACUCAGUACAUUCCGUCAGUCAUUGGAAUCCAAUAAACUUAGUUUAGCUCUGCUAAACAAUACCACUAGUAUCAGUCCAGUUAAUCAGUAUUUGUUCAGCUAAUCAGUUCAGUUCAGUUAUUCA
Molecule: long non-coding RNA, 291 nt
Filed under: Capsicum annuum
Lineage: Eukaryota; Viridiplantae; Streptophyta; Magnoliopsida; Solanales; Solanaceae
Description: long non-coding RNA (CANN_LNC017334)
Source: RNAcentral